AGGGUGACAGGUGGUGCAUGGUUGUCGUCAGCUCGUGUCGUGAGAUGUUGGUUAAGUCCCGCAACGAGCGCAACCCUCGCCUCUAGUUGCCAGCAUUCGGUUGGGCACUCUAGAGGGACUGCCGGCGACAAGUCGGAGGAAGGUGGGGAUGACGUCAAAUCAUCAUGCCCCUUAUGACCUGGGCUACACACGUGCUACAAUGGGCGGUACAAAGGGCUGCGAACCCGCGAGGGGGAGCGAAUCCCAAAAAGCCGCUCUCAGUUCGGAUUGCAGGCUGCAACUCGCCUGCAUGAAGCCGGAAUCGCUAGUAAUCGCGGAUCAGCAUGCCGCGGUGAAUACGUUCCCGGGCCUU
Molecule: ribosomal RNA, 352 nt
Filed under: uncultured Geobacillus sp.
Lineage: Bacteria; Bacillati; Bacillota; Bacilli; Caryophanales; Anoxybacillaceae
Description: bacterial SSU rRNA
Rfam family: Bacterial small subunit ribosomal RNA
Source: RNAcentral